AGCGAACGCUGGCGGCAGGCUUAACACAUGCAAGUCGAACGGGCGUAGCAAUACGUCAGUGGCAGACGGGUGAGUAACGCGUGGGAACGUACCUUUUGGUUCGGAACAACCCAGGGAAACUUGGGCUAAUACCGGAUAAGCCCUUACGGGGAAAGAUUUAUCGCCGAAAGAUCGGCCCGCGUCUGAUUAGCUUGUUGGUGAGGUAACGGCUCACCAAGGCGACGAUCAGUAGCUGGUCUGAGAGGAUGAUCAGCCACAUUGGGACUGAGACACGGCCCAAACUCCUACGGGAGGCAGCAGUGGGGAAUAUUGGACAAUGGGCGCAAGCCUGAUCCAGCCAUGCCGCGUGAGUGAUGAAGGCCCUAGGGUUGUAAAGCUCUUUUGUGCGGGAAGAUAAUGACGGUACCGCAAGAAUAAGCCCCGGCUAACUUCGUGCCAGCCGCCGCCGUAAG
This 452-nucleotide ribosomal RNA is filed under the name uncultured bacterium. RNAcentral's name for it is "bacterial SSU rRNA". It matches the Rfam family "Bacterial small subunit ribosomal RNA", at positions 29 to 524 of the family's 1533-position model. The record is from RNAcentral.